RNAcentral lists this ribosomal RNA (253 nucleotides) under uncultured bacterium. RNAcentral's name for it is "partial 16S ribosomal RNA". It matches the Rfam family "Bacterial small subunit ribosomal RNA", at positions 524 to 776 of the family's 1533-position model. The record is from RNAcentral.
UACGUAGGGGGCUAGCGUUGUCCGGAAUCAUUGGGCGUAAAGAGCGUGUAGGCGGCCCGGUAAGUCCGCUGUAAAAGUCAAAGGCUCAACCUUUGAAUGUCAGUGGAUACUGCCGGGCUAGAGUCCGGAAGAGGAGAGUGGAACUCCUGGUGUAGCGGUGGAAUGCGCAGAUAUCAGGAAGAACACCAACGGCGAAGGCAGCGCGCUGGGACGGUACUGACGCUGAGACGCGAAAGCGUGGGGAGCGAACAGG